Molecule: long non-coding RNA, 1090 nt
Organism: Panicum virgatum (switchgrass)
Lineage: Eukaryota; Viridiplantae; Streptophyta; Magnoliopsida; Poales; Poaceae
Exons: 7
Source: RefSeq, a predicted model, not a curated record
CGCAGGACCCUGGAUGCAGCGGCGUUCAUGGACAAAGCCACUGGCUAUGGUUUGCUAACAAUAAAGCAGGAUAAUAUUUUGGUGUACCAAAGUUCUUUAUGACACAAAAUAUAACUAAAACAUAUGUUUGUAUUAGCUUCAUCUAAAAUAAUAUAAACCUUGGUUAAUCAAGUUAGGAUUUCUUACAAAUUGUUUUAUCAAAAACAGGAAGGUUACAAGAUCAAAAGAGCAGGAAAGGAUCAAGACAAGACAAUAGUAACAAAGGGACCUACCAAAAAUUAUCAUUGGGUGCCUCGAUAGUGGAACCACUUAAUAAAGAUUUCUGGGUUACAUUAGGUUCAAUAUCAAGUGAUCUAGCUUCGAAGCAGAAGGGACUCAGGUGACAAGCAAUUGGCAACACAAGCAUUUGAUCGUGCUCGAAGCAUUGAUCCCUCAUUUGCCUUGCCAUGGGCUGGAAAUAUCUCUACAGUUGCCAGUGGACCUGUGAGUUACAAAUGGCUGGGAGUCCCGGUGGGUGCAAUCUGAUUGUAAAAGGAGUGAAGGGAAAGCUGGAAGGUUAAAGCACACGGCCGGAACAUACUCUGGAGAUUCUGAUGCCAAAGAUUUAUUUUUCAUCCCUCGCACAUUUGUGUUUCAAUUGACUAUGAAUACAAACAACAAUGGAUGCUAGGCAUUUUCCUAUCUCAGCGAAGUUCCCACAAUUCAGUAACGAGAACAGGACACUGGUGGUCCAGUACUCCAUCAAGUUUGAGCAGGAUAUCGAGUGCGGUGGUGGAUAUAUUAAGCUUAUGUCCGGUUAUGUCAACCAGAAAAAUUUAGUGGGGACACUCCAUAUAGUGUCUGAAUAUGAAUUGCAGCCUCUAUUGUUAGAACUGUGGAUUUUGCUGCUGAGGUACAAGAUGUGCUUAGAAAUCUUAGUGGCAACAGGGAAUCAAUGAAGGGAAUAAAGUCAUGGUUUAUGCAGAGGGCAGAGGGUGCUGUUUGUGUCGGCUCUGCCUCAAGUUCUUAAGGAAAGAGUAUUUGCCUUUGAGGAUUCAGAGGGGCAGCUGCACAUUAUUUUCCUGGUGAAUGAUAUUUUGUUUGAAAGGUA